RNAcentral lists this long non-coding RNA (954 nucleotides) under Salmo salar (Atlantic salmon). Its description in RNAcentral is "lncRNA (ENSSSAG00000107217.1, ENSSSAG00000119185.1)". Lineage: Eukaryota; Metazoa; Chordata; Actinopteri; Salmoniformes; Salmonidae. The record is from RNAcentral.
AGCAAGCGCAAGCAAUUACACUAGACAGCUGUUGAAAUCCAUUGUGGGUCCAACGUUACUUUAGAUUGAUUGACAUGAGGAAGUUAGCUUUUUGCCAGCUGGAUAUCAGUGCUCUCAGAACCACGUUGUGGAGUUGAUGAGUACAUUAUUUGAAGCGCCAUGGUGGAUGUGACUUCCUGUCUGUAGCCCAUGUGACUGAUGACAAAGUGGAGUUUCUCCCUCCUCAUGAGACAACAGACACACAUGUCAUAAUAAAUAUCACUGGAUCCUCUGCUUAUGGUGAUGUCACGGAUGAUGAUGCUCCCAUCUCCCCUAUCCACAGGCUUCUGUUAUUCUACCAACCGUUUCUCUGAAGAGAGGUCCAUCCUGAAUGUGUUGUUACCUCCCUGAUCACAACAUUUCUGGGAAGCAAGCAUGAGUAAGGUUUUCAAAUCCCACUUCUAUCUGGCUGGAAUUCCAUCAAGCUGGGAGUGUCAAAGACAUAAAAUAGAAAAAGUACAUGAUGGGCAAGUGAUUUAGCUUGGAGUUUGCACAACAUGUGUAUUUGAUUGAAGCACAAAUGUAUCUGUCCAUUGUCGAUUCUCAAGGUGCAAUAGGAGAGGAAGGGAAGGAAUGGAAACAAAGAAACCAUUGAAACAAAUCCUCACUGCAAUCUAACCCUGAAGAAAGCAUACAUCCUCUCCACAGAUAUUACAGAUGGAUAUAGGAUCACCCCAACAGUAAUUAAUAUCUAUAAGUCAAAAAGAGAUUACAACUUCAGAUAUUUCUUUAACUGUGAGCUCAGUAUCUUCACACUUCAUGUAAGAUUGUAGAUACUGACUCUGGCUUUGUGUUCCAGACAGCAGAAUUUAUGGAUUUCAAAUCCUAUGAAAACUACUUCCCCACAUUUCAGUUGUCAUGAUUGAUUGCCAACAAGGGUUUUGUCACCAAGUACUAAGUCAUGUUUUGCAGAGG